UACGUAGGGUGCGAGCGUUGUUCGGAUUUACUGGGCGUAAAGGGCGCGUAGGCGGUCACUACAAGUCAGUUGUGAAAUCUCUGGGCUUAACUCAGAACGGUCAACUGAUACUGUCGGACUAGAGUGCAGAAGGGGCAACUGGAAUUCUCGGUGUAGCGGUGAAAUGCGUAGAUAUCGAGAGGAACACCUGCGGCGAAGGCGGGUUGCUGGGCUGACACUGACGCUGAGGCGCGAAAGCUAGGGGAGCGAACGGG
This 254-nucleotide ribosomal RNA is filed under the name uncultured bacterium. RNAcentral describes it as "partial 16S ribosomal RNA". It matches the Rfam family "Bacterial small subunit ribosomal RNA", at positions 524 to 776 of the family's 1533-position model. The record is from RNAcentral.